RNAcentral lists this long non-coding RNA (256 nucleotides) under Elaeis guineensis (African oil palm). RNAcentral describes it as "long non-coding RNA (EGUI_LNC016975)". The record is from RNAcentral. Lineage: Eukaryota; Viridiplantae; Streptophyta; Magnoliopsida; Arecales; Arecaceae.
CCCAAAGUUUCUCUCCUAAAAUUUCUAUGCAUGUCCCACUUUUCUCCUCUUUUUACAACAACGUCGAACGUGUCUUAUCCGCGUGAGAGGAUAAAGAUAAGUGGUUGCACAUGUGAAUUCAAAUCAAAUUUGAAUUCAAAUGCAAAACCAACUCAUCCCUAUCCACUUGUGUGUGAGAAGAGAAGGGGCGUGAGUUGAUUUGUGCAUGGAGAGUUUACACGAGAAAUAUUUUCUCGUGUAAAAUAUGGGGCGCACA